CGUGGUGACUUUACCGAAAGAACCAAGAAUAUGAAUAUCUGCUGCCACGAAAGCUUUAAAUCAACAUUUGCUGCCCUUUGUCAAGCAAAACAUAAACCGACGCCCCGCGGUUCCUCCCCAUUGGCUGGUAUUGCGGUGACGUCACAACGACGAGUGCGCAACGCAAGCGUGAGCAGGCGCACGCUUGGAGUGGACGGAACGAGGGAAGGAACACGUGGCCCCACGUUCGAGGGACCUUGUUGACCUGCUUGGCACAGCAAGUCGGCGUGGGCAGGACGCAUCGCCGGUCGACGAGAUGGGAGACGGACGGCGGCCGUGGGAGGGUAACAACAUCUGAGAGGACGAACUCCGCUGUGCUGGACCAAAUUGGAUCGGCUCGCGCGUGUGCGGCCUCGGUUUGUGCGAGCUUUAAGAAAAUUCACCAACUUUUAAAUGGCAGCAAAACAACACUCUUCCAUCGUAAUGGGAAUCUCACUUGCAAAGUUGUGGAGAUGAGAACAAAAUAAUGGGGGAAAUAUCGCAUCGGAGUUAGCAACGAGGGAGAGAACGCCGGGCAGGAGUUGGCAACCAUCCGCUGGUUGAAGCUCUCUAUGCAACCAAAUACGUAUGUGUUUUAUCGUGGUUGCUAAGCACGUGCCCAAAAGCCCACGAAGCCAAGCCCGUCAGCAACAUGCAGUGAGUUGUAAUACGUUCAUGGGACCAUUUUGUCUUGGUGCUGUUCGCCUUUUUGACAUCCUCUGAUCUAACACUGGUGAGAUAAGGCCAUGAAGGAGGCGGCAUGUGAUGUAGGCCGAUCAGUUUCAAAGACAAUGCAUAGAUUAUUAGAGCAUGUUUGUUUGCAUGUUUGUAUCACAAGCAUGUUGUGGUAAAUGCAGACUUGAUGCCUUGAAAUAGGCUUUUGAACAUUGCCGGAACGGGCAAAACCGUUUAUCUUGUUGUCGUUGUAAUCAUUGCAAUACGUUUCUUGAAUUGAACUAGGGUAUUAAGAACUUGGUAAAAUAGACCAUGGCAGAGGAUCCCGAAGUGGAAGAGAAAAAGCAGAUAUAAAAGUGUUGUGUGACCUGCAUUGUGGUGUUUGAGUAUGCUGCUCUCCAUCCUUUUCUAUGCACAACCCGGCUGUUUUUUAUUUAUUUAACUCUUUGCAAUGUUCACGUCUCAGAUCCAUGCUAUGGCAUGCUAUGGCAUGGAUCUGAAACGUGAACAUUGUCCUAUGGCAGCUUUUUUUUAAAUCAAAAGUUAGUCGUAAACAAUUUACGAUGCCAAUCUCAUUUCUUUUGAAUUAUUGCAGAUAGUCAUGGGUGUUAUUGUCGUUUAAGUAAUUGUGUUGAAAUUAUUAGUUUUUUCAAGAAUUGUAGAUUAUGCAAACGAGGCAUGAAGAUAUUGUCUUAAAUAUGUAUUCUAGAACUUUUCAAAUGUCUGGCUAAAACAUGACAAUUUUCAGGUAUAUGAGGUGAAUUAACAAUAUGUGCAUAUAUAAAACUUGGUCACCAGGGACAAGAUCAUACAAUUCACGGCGAGAGAUAUUUGCAUGGUUCAGUAAUUCUCGGCGCAAGUCCAGCAUCGCUCUAGUCGUACUGAACACUGCUUUUGAAAAUAUAAGAUAGGUGCCACUUUCCCUCCCCUCCAGUGAUAAACAGUCACGCUUUAUGCUGGCACUUUUAGUCCUUCCCUGCCAUCUGCUGGACAUUUUGAGUAUUGUAGGUUUCUCCACUGAUCCAUAUUAUUUCUUCUCCACGGUUGCUGGCCUGCAAAAAUCACACAUUUUGGAACAUAUUUUCUUUUACAAACAGUCCUUUAUUCAGUGCCCAUGCAUAACUUUACACCUGCAAAUUUGUUUCUGAAACAAGCUGCACAAUUUUCGAUUUAAAGCUUUCGUGACUGCAAGGAUUCAUAUUCUUGAUUCUUUCGGUGAAGUCACGUAGA
This is a long non-coding RNA of Petromyzon marinus (sea lamprey), 1923 nucleotides long. RefSeq lists it as uncharacterized. The record is from RefSeq and is a predicted model, not a curated record. NCBI's taxonomy places the organism in Eukaryota, Metazoa, Chordata, Hyperoartia, Petromyzontiformes, Petromyzontidae.